Gossypium hirsutum (cotton) is the source of this 146-nucleotide non-coding RNA. NCBI's taxonomy places the organism in Eukaryota, Viridiplantae, Streptophyta, Magnoliopsida, Malvales, Malvaceae. The record is from Rfam.
UGUUAAAAGUUUUAUCCAUUUUUAUUAUUAAAAACUAGUAUAGUUGACGAAAUAAUUAAACAAACUACACGUGGUCUGCAAUGUGUACAACAUGUUGACAUAUAGAAACCAAUUUUUAAUAGUAAAAAUGAAUAUAAUUUUUAACA